GUGCUCAUGUGGGCAGCACAUAUACUAAAAUUGCAACGGUACAGAGAAGAUUAGUAUGCACAGGGAGGACACACAAAAAUUCAUGAAGUGUUCCAUAUUUUU
This is a small nuclear RNA of Cynocephalus volans (Philippine flying lemur), 102 nucleotides long. NCBI's taxonomy places the organism in Eukaryota, Metazoa, Chordata, Mammalia, Dermoptera, Cynocephalidae. The record is from RefSeq and is a predicted model, not a curated record.